Molecule: long non-coding RNA, 511 nt
Organism: Uranotaenia lowii
Lineage: Eukaryota; Metazoa; Arthropoda; Insecta; Diptera; Culicidae
Exons: 2
Source: RefSeq, a predicted model, not a curated record
CUGGCGCUAUAAAAGUGAGAUCCGUGGAGGGUUUAGCUAUCAAAAGUGAUUACGAGCUUUAUCAACAAGUCGUGAGUAAAGUCAGCUAAAAAGCUUGUACAAAAAUGCAUUUCUUCAAUUUUAUUACUAUCGUGCUUCUGAUUUCAACUGUUCUGGUUGGAAUCGCUCUUGGAAGAACGCCUAAUCCUGCAAAAAAAGCACAACUAGAUGCCCUGAAACAAGCCAUUUUCGAGAAGAAAAUACAGGAGAUAGCGACGGCCUAUAGUGUUACUCUACCAACAACAACAACAGAAGCAACAACAACAACAACAACAGGGUAAUUACGGUUUAAAUGUAUCAUCGAGAAUAAAAUAUAAAUCGCAUGCCUAAAGCAAAAUAAUUGAAAAAAAAAUGAUAAACCACUAAAAGUUGAUCAAAAAUUUAAAAAAAAAAUCUGGAGGCAAGUUUUUUAACUUUCCAAAUAAUAAAUGACAAACAACAAGAAUUGGAAGAAUAAAUUUUUUUUAACCCA